GGAGGAGUGCCCGAGUGGUUAAAGGGGACGGACUGUAAAUCCGUUGGCUUCGCCUACGUUGGUUCAAAUCCAACCUCCUCCA
Molecule: transfer RNA, 82 nt
Filed under: Pseudaminobacter salicylatoxidans
Lineage: Bacteria; Pseudomonadati; Pseudomonadota; Alphaproteobacteria; Hyphomicrobiales; Phyllobacteriaceae
Rfam family: tRNA
About the family: Transfer RNA (tRNA) molecules are approximately 80 nucleotides in length. Their secondary structure includes four short double-helical elements and three loops (D, anti-codon, and T loops). Further hydrogen bonds mediate the characteristic L-shaped molecular structure. tRNAs have two regions of fundamental functional importance: the anti-codon, which is responsible for specific mRNA codon recognition, and the 3' end, to which the tRNAs corresponding amino acid is attached (by aminoacyl-tRNA synthetases). tRNAs cope with the degeneracy of the genetic code in two manners: having more than one tRNA (with a specific anti-codon) for a particular amino acid; and 'wobble' base-pairing, i.e. permitting non-standard base-pairing at the 3rd anti-codon position.
Source: Rfam by way of RNAcentral